GGUUCCAUGGCUCAGUUGGUUAGCGCGUGGCACUAAUAUCACUCAGAUGUUAAUGCCAAGGUCGAGGGUUCAACCCCCUCUGGAACCA
Non-coding RNA from Tuber magnatum (white Piedmont truffle), 88 nucleotides. Lineage: Eukaryota; Fungi; Ascomycota; Pezizomycetes; Pezizales; Tuberaceae. The record is from the annotation of a GenBank genome assembly.